GGAAGUGACAGAGCUCAUUAGGGGUGUGGCCUUGGCAGAGAAGAGGGCUCUGUGCUUCUAAGAGCCCAUCCCUUCCUCUGACCAACCCAACGAGCAAACACAAAAACCAACCCUGAAACAGUAAAGGUCGAAAUCAAGGCAGAGUUUAAUACACACGUGCAUUCACAGCCUCUUAGGAGUUCAGAGUUCAGAAGCACCCUCACCGUCCAUGCUGAGGCAUGAGCAGUGUUAGGGGGGUCAUACAGUCCUGACUGUUCAUAUAGUCAAGCCUACCCUCCACAUGGUCUCACUCUCCCCUUGGCCAGUACUGCCCGCUUCCUCUCCCUCCCCAUUGUGCGCGCCCACAGCAAACACCGUGGAGACAUAUUGGUGGAGGUUGCUUAUAGGGAGAUACAGAGAGAGUUCAGCAGAACCAAGAUCUCUGCUGCAGAACACGAAGAAACAAGGAUGGGCGCCAACACCAGAGGCCAGAGGAAAAGGGACAGACCCUGCCCUGCACACUAUGGAGGAAAGGUGGCACUGCCCAUGCCUCAAUUUGGGACUUUUGUUUUUUUCCUUCAGUUAGGGUCUCAUAUACCCCAGGCUGGCCUUGAACCCACUCUGUAGCUGACCAAGUCUUCAGCAGGGUGUCAGCCUACCCCUCAUAGUGAGGUCAGUCAGAGCAGGCUAGCUCCACUUGUAUGUAUCAAACAGUCUUACAGUCACCCUUACAGUUUCUUCCAGACGGAGUCCUGCCUUGGUGCUUCCCUUGUAGGCACGCCUAACCCUCCGUGGGCAUGGGAUGGAGGCUGAUGAGGUGUAACACAGUAGGGUGGGCCAGGUCAGUCAGGGGUUUCCAUGUUUCAGAUAGGGGCAGUCCCCAGUGAUUUCCAACUCCUCCUUGUCCCCCUUGACCCACUAUGACAGAAAGCACUGAUAUCCAAUGCCCACGGAGCACAGUCAAACUUCCCUUGGACUGUAACUCCAUUUACAUUUAGGCUUUCUGGUCAAACCCACAUACACAUUUUCAAAGACACAGAACCCUCUGUGUGGGUCAUUUUUGCUGAUCAAAAUCACAGAUGUGGAGUUAGGGAGAUGGCUCAGUCAGCAAAGUGUUUGAUUUGCAAGAAUUAAGAUCAGAAUUUGAUCUCCAGAAACCACUUAAAAGCAAAAACAAUCAAACCCAGGCACGGUGAUGUGGGUUUGUGAUCCCAGUUUUGGGAGGUAGAGACAGGAGGAUUCCAGUCUAGCUUCCUUGGAAAAUUCCAGGCCAAGUGCAGGACCUUGUCUCAACAAACAAACAAGCAACAAACUAACCCAAGAAGGAUACCACCUGAGGAGUAAACCCCAGGGUGUCCUGUGAGCACACACGUGUGCACCUGCACACGCCUGCAGCCCUUUGAGCACACACAUGUGCACUCCACACAUGCUUGCAGCUCCCUAGAUGAACACACACCCAGGCUCACACAGGCAAGAAUGUUAGUUUGUUUCUCAGAGCUGCUUCCCCUCACCGAGUGUCUGGGGUUAUUACAGUGCAGAUUUUGAAGGCAGAGCUCACACACCCAACUGCUUAUGGAGUGGUGGAGUGAGUCAUAGCAGCAGAGUGCCUGUCAGGAAGGAGUCGGCCUUGCCACCCUCCUCUCCAUGUGAGGAAGCUGUAAGCAGAAGAGGCAGAGAACCCUUGGCAUGGGGUGGUGCCAUCUGGAGUUCUUGAGAAGGGGGAAAGGGUUUGCUAUGUGCAGUGUUCACAGCCUGCUGAUCUGCAUACAUCUGCAGCAUCCCCGGAAGGAUCCCCGGGAGGGAACAACAGAGGGAAAGCUGCUCAGCGACAGUUUUUCCUACUCCCAAGCUUUCUAUAGUGGGUAUAGAGAUGUUUAACCUCCACUGUCAAUUUGACUGCAUUUAGAAUCACCAUGGGAACCUAUCUCUGGGUGUGUCUAUUAGGGUGUUUUCCAGAGAGGUUUAACUGUGGGUAGCAUCAUCCCAAGGGCUGGAUGUUGCAGACUGAAUGACGGAGAAAGCUGUGCAUCAACGUUCGUUCUAUUCCCAGACUGCAGAAGCAAUGCGACCGGCUGCCUUCCCCGCUGCUGCUCUGCCUUGACCGCUACAAUGGACGGCACCAUGAGCUGAGAGACCCUUCCUUCCAAUUGCUCUUGUCGGGCAUAUUGUCAUAACAGCGAGAGAAGGAAUUCUACAGGAAGCUAUCUACGCGCACCAUUCUCCUGGAAUAGGUCCAGUCACCACUGGGUGAAUGACUUCGCUGACAGGGCAAACUCCCGGCUGGUUCUUUGAUUGGCUAACGAUCACCAUCCCAGUGCAAAACCCUGGAAGAGGAAGGCAGCUUUACUUGAGAGGACUCACAGAGGCUUCAAGCUUCUUCUCCUGGACCCUGACUCUUGAUCGGUUGUUUGUGCAAAUGCUGGACGAUCCUAACCACGGCGGGGGCCAGGAGAGAAGGCUGGAGGCCGAGGGGCACCGGGCCACAGCUCAUGCUGGCUCAGCCUGCCUUUUCUGCUGGAAUGGAUACCGUCUGUGGCUGCAUAACUCUCCAGUUGCCUCAAGAAAACCCUCCACCCUCAGGUCACGGGGUGUUUCCAUCUUCCACCCAGCCUGCCUCACCUCUGUCCUGCUCUCCGUCCUCAGUCAGGGCCUCCCAUGGGGCACAGGGACUGCACAGGCUUCAUCAAGCCGCUCUCUGUGACUGCAGUGUACACCCAGGACAAGAGACUUAACAAGAGAAGAGGGUUACGCUGGCUCGUAGUUUCAGUUCAGGACAGGUCACAGGUCAUCCUGUGGCACAGCAGGACAGAAGUGUGUGGCGACUGUCCACCUCAGGGCCAGCUCACAGGAGAGAAGGACGAGGAUACUACAACCCACGAUUUCCUUCAAGGAAGCAUCUCCAGUGACUGAAGAAGCCCUAUCAGGCUCCACUGCUGAAACUUUCCACCAGCACCAAGUCGGGGACCCAGUCUUUAAAACGUGGGUCACUGGGGAAUAGUCCAGAUACAGACCAUGGCAGAAGGGGAAGGGAAUGUGUGCGGCAAAGGCGCAGGUGACACAGGGCAAGGCUCACAAGCAAAUACAGAACGUGUGGUCAAUGUAGGGGCGCAGGGAGGACCUCACUAGAAUAAAAUAAAUGCCCCUCUUCUCCCUGAUGGGAGAUCCGUUUCCUGGUGCCCUGCAGCACUUCCUGUUGCUUGCAGAGUCCUGCCUCACACUCUAAUGAGUCCACCAGCUCCUCGGGCACCUAUACCUCAGAUGGAGGGACGGGUGGUCAGACGACGGUUAAGUACUUACGCACCUCUUUGUGUCAAGUACACAGAACAAGUUCAUAAACCCUGACUUCACCUUCCAGACUCCUUCAUCUAAAUCGAGAUGUCACCAAGGGAUAGGAUCAAAGCUGCAAAACCACAAAAAGCCGUGUGAACUUUCUCAGAAAGAGGGGCUCCACAGGCAUGCCUACGGGAAGAGAGUCUGGAGGUGCCAAGUGCCUGGAAAGGGCAGGAAGAGGAGCUGAGGAACAGUGAAGGGUGCGCAGAGGGGCGCUGGGUCUGGAACUCUGAGUGGCUCUAUACUGGGUGGCCCUGGGCAGGCAGCUUUUGACCCAAGCUGGCAGAAAGAGAGGGACAAAGAUCAAUUGUCACCAAGUGGGUGCUGGCGUCUCAGUGGUUAUUUGGGAUGGCUGUUAGGCUGGUGAGGACAUUCCUGGGUGAUUUUCUGUUUGAAUACUGGUGUCACCAUUAGUAAAUCAAGGGGCAAGAGGGACAGCAUUGCUUCACGUCUCCAUUUUACAACCUUUUGAUGUUGGGACGGCUCAUGCUCAGUAACCACACUGUCAAAGCCACAAAAUAAAAUCAUAAAAGAGU
RNAcentral lists this small RNA (3845 nucleotides) under Rattus norvegicus (Norway rat). Its description in RNAcentral is "uncharacterized LOC102554193". The record is from RNAcentral. Lineage: Eukaryota; Metazoa; Chordata; Mammalia; Rodentia; Muridae.